AUUGAACGCUGGCGGCGUGCUUAACACAUGCAAGUCGAACGCGAAAGGGACUUCGGUCCUGAGUAAAGUGGCGCACGGGUGAGUAACGCGUGGAUAAUCUGCCCUUAUGAUUGGAAUAACAGUUGGAAACGGCUGCUAAUACCGGAUACGCUCAAAAUGAACUUUUUGAGGAAAGAUGGCCUCUGCUUGCAUGCUAUCGCAUAAGGAUGAGUCCGCGUCCCAUUAGCUUGUUGGCGGGGUAACGGCCCACCAAGGCAACGAUGGGUAGCCGAUUUGAGAGGAUGAUCGGCCACACUGGAACUGAAACACGGUCCAGACUCCUACGGGAGGCAGCAGUGGGGAAUAUUGCGCAAUGGGCGAAAGCCUGACGCAGCGACGCCGCGUGAGGGAUGAAGGUUUCGGAUCGUAAACCUCUGUCAGAGGAAGAACUACGUUAGGUGCUAAUCAGCAGCGUACUGACGGUACCUUCAAAGGAAGCACCGG
RNAcentral lists this ribosomal RNA (483 nucleotides) under uncultured bacterium. RNAcentral describes it as "bacterial SSU rRNA". It matches the Rfam family "Bacterial small subunit ribosomal RNA", at positions 30 to 496 of the family's 1533-position model. The record is from RNAcentral.